Molecule: ribosomal RNA, 696 nt
Filed under: uncultured bacterium
Lineage: Bacteria
Description: bacterial SSU rRNA
Rfam family: Bacterial small subunit ribosomal RNA
Source: RNAcentral
AUGAACACUAGGUGUCGGGGGAAUCGACCCCCUCGGUGUCGUAGCUAACGCGUUAAGUGUUCCGCCUGGGGAGUACGCACGCAAGUGUGAAACUCAAAGGAAUUGACGGGGGCCCGCACAAGCGGUGGAGUAUGUGGUUUAAUUCGAUGCAACGCGAAGAACCUUACCAGGGUUUGACAUCCUGCGAACCUCUUAGAAAUUUGAGGGUGCCUUCGGGAAUGCAGUGACAGGUGGUGCAUGGCUGUCGUCAGCUCGUGUCGUGAGAUGUUGGGUUAAGUCCCGCAACGAGCGCAACCCACGUUUUUAGUUGCCAGCAUUUAGUUGGGCACUCUAGAAAGACCGCCGGUGAUAAACCGGAGGAAGGUGUGGAUGACGUCAAGUCAUCAUGCCCCUUACACCCUGGGCUACACACGUACUACAAUGCUACGGACAAAGGGCAGCAAACUCGCGAGAGCUAGCAAAUCCCAUAAACCGUGGCUCAGUUCAGAUCGUAGGCUGCAACUCGCCUACGUGAAGUAGGAAUCGCUAGUAAUCGCAGGUCAGCAUACUGCGGUGAAUACGUUCCCGGGCCUUGUACACACCGCCCGUCACACCAUGGAAGUUGGCCAUGCCCGAAGUCGUUACUCCAACCCUUGUGGAGGAGGACGCCGAAGGUGGGGCUAAUGACUGGGGUGAAGUCGUAACAAGGUAGCCGUA